GCUGGCGACCGGCGCACGGGUGAGUAACACGUAUCCAACCUACCCUUUACUCGGGGAUAGCCUUUCGAAAGAAAGAUUAAUACCCGAUAGCAUAAUGAUUCCGCAUGGUUUCAUUAUUAAAGGAUUCCGGUAAAGGAUGGGGAUGCGUUCCAUUAGGUUGUUGGUGGGGUAACGGCCCACCAAGCCUUCGAUGGAUAGGGGUUCUGAGAGGAAGGUCCCCCACAUUGGAACUGAGACACGGUCCAAACUCCUACGGGAGGCAGCAUG
Molecule: ribosomal RNA, 267 nt
Filed under: uncultured bacterium
Lineage: Bacteria
Description: partial 16S ribosomal RNA
Rfam family: Bacterial small subunit ribosomal RNA
Source: RNAcentral